AGCAGCCGCGGUAAUUCCAGCUCCAAUAGCGUAUAUUAAAGUUGUUGCAGUUAAAAGGCUCGUAGUUGAAUUUCGGGAUCAAUAUGCUGGUCGUGCCAUUGGUACGUACUAGUAUUAUUGGUUUCUCCUUUCUGAUGAAUCAUGAUGUCAUUAAUUUGAUGUCAUGAGGAAUCAGGACUGUUACUUUGAAAAAUUAGAGUGUUUAAAGCAGGCUCGCGCUUGAAUACAUUAGCAUGGAAUAAUGAAAUAGGAUGUUUGAUUCUAUUUUGUUGGUUUCUAGGAUUGACGUAAUGAUUAAUAGGGAUAGUUGGGGGCAUUAGUAUUCAAUUGUCAGAGGUGAAAUUCUUGGAUUUAUUGAAGACUAACUACUGCGAAAGCAUUUGCCAAGGAUGUUUUCAUUAAUCAAGAACGAAAGUUAGGGGGUCGAAGACGAUCAGAUACCGUCGUAGUCUUAACCAUAAACUAUGCCGACUAGGGAUCGGAUGAUGUAAUUUUUAAU
This 499-nucleotide unclassified non-coding RNA is filed under the name uncultured Glomus. RNAcentral describes it as "SSU rRNA". It matches the Rfam family "Eukaryotic small subunit ribosomal RNA", at positions 569 to 1073 of the family's 1831-position model. Lineage: Eukaryota; Fungi; Glomeromycota; Glomeromycetes; Glomerales; Glomeraceae. The record is from RNAcentral.